GCUGGCGGCGUGCCUAACACAUGCAAGUCGAACGAGAAAGUGUAGCAAUCCAUGAGUAAAGUGGCGCACGGGUGAGUAACACGUGACUAACCUACCCUGGAGUGGGGGAUAACUGAGGGAAACCUUAGCUAAUACCGCAUAAUACCUACGGGUCAAAGGAGCAAUUCGCUUCAGGAGGGGGUCGCGGCCGAUUAGUUAGUUGGCGGGGUAAUGGCCCACCAAGACAGUGAUCGGUAUCCGGCCUGAGAGGGCGCACGGACACACUGGAACUGAAACACGGUCCAGACUCCUACGGGAGGCAGCAGUGGGGAAUUUUGCGCAAUGGGGGAAACCCUGACGCAGCAACGCCGCGUGGAGGAUGAAGUCCUUCGGGACGUAAACUCCUUUCGAUCGGGACGAUUAUGACGGUACCGGAAGAAGAAGCCCCGGCUAACUUCGUGCCAGCAGCCGCGGUAAUACGAGGGGGG
This 467-nucleotide ribosomal RNA is filed under the name uncultured soil bacterium. RNAcentral's name for it is "bacterial SSU rRNA". It matches the Rfam family "Bacterial small subunit ribosomal RNA", at positions 35 to 534 of the family's 1533-position model. The record is from RNAcentral.